Long non-coding RNA from Oncorhynchus gorbuscha (pink salmon), 280 nucleotides. RefSeq lists it as uncharacterized. Lineage: Eukaryota; Metazoa; Chordata; Actinopteri; Salmoniformes; Salmonidae. The record is from RefSeq and is a predicted model, not a curated record. The transcript is spliced from 3 exons.
GGAAGCAGGGGAUGAUGGGAAAAGGGUGUUUGCUGAGACCACGUUGGACCCCCAGCAGAGUCAGUCCUGGGACCAGCUACGAUGUCUCUACAGAGGACCUUCCAGGUUGGCCAUCCUGUCGGAAAUCUCCCACUGCCAUGGCAACGAGAAGGCGGGCCUCCUAAACCCCUCCCAACCAGGAACAGGAAGUAUAUUCCACAGCGAGAACUUCCAGCUCAAACUCUCCCCACCGCCAUCGGUCGAAGAGUAGCUUGCCUAUAGCCAUGUUCAGUAUGAUGAC